This 645-nucleotide ribosomal RNA is filed under the name Coprinopsis sp. BAB-5123. RNAcentral's name for it is "eukaryotic LSU rRNA". The stretch from base 216 to 369 matches the Rfam family "5.8S ribosomal RNA". The record is from RNAcentral. Lineage: Eukaryota; Fungi; Basidiomycota; Agaricomycetes; Agaricales; Psathyrellaceae.
GCUGGCUCCCCGGAGCAUGUGCUCGCCCGUCACCUUUAUCUUUCCACCUGUGCACACACUGUAGUCCUGGAUACCUCUCGCCGAAAGGCGGAUGCAGAGUUUGCUGUUCCUCUCUCGAGGUCGGCUCUCUCUGAAUUUCCAGGGCUAUGAUCUUAUACACCCCAAUUGAAUGUUACAGAAUGUUAUCAUAAGGCUUCGUGCCUAUAAACCUAUACAACUUUCAGCAACGGAUCUCUUGGCUCUCGCAUCGAUGAAGAACGCAGCGAAAUGCGAUAAGUAAUGUGAAUUGCAGAAUUCAGUGAAUCAUCGAAUCUUUGAACGCACCUUGCGCUCCUUGGUAUUCCGAGGAGCAUGCCUGUUUGAGUGUCAUUAAAUUCUCAACCUCACCAACUUUUGUUGUGUGAAGGCUUGGAUGUGGGGGUUGCAGGUCCGCACUCGUGGUCUGCUCCUCUAAAACGUAUUAGUGGGUUGGUCCCCUAAUCUAUUGGUGUGAUAAUUAUCUACGCCGUGGAUUAGGAUGGCUACAUAGACUCGCUUCUAACCGUCCUCACGGACAACUUGACAAUUUUGACCUCAAAUCAGGUAAGACUACCCGCUGAACUUAAGCAUAUCAAUAAGCGGAGGAAGGAUCAUUAUUGAAUAAAC